UGGGGAAUAUUGGACAAUGGGCGCAAGCCUGAUCCAGCCAUGCCGCGUGAGUGAUGAAGGCCCUAGGGUUGUAAAGCUCUUUCACCGGUGAAGAUAAUGACGGUAACCGGAGAAGAAGCCCCGGCUAACUUCGUGCCAGCAGCCGCGGUAAUACGAAGGGGGCUAGCGUUGUUCGGAUUUACUGGGCGUAAAGCGCACGUAGGCGGACUUUUAAGUCAGGGGUGAAAUCCCGGGGCUCAACCCCGGAACUGCCUUUGAUACUGGAAGUCUUGAGUAUGGUAGAGGUGAGUGGAAUUCCGGGUGUAGAGGUGAAAUUCGUAGAUAUUCGGGGGAACACCAGUGGCGAAGGCGGCUCACUGGACCAUUACUGACGCUGGGGUGCGAAAGCGUGGGGGGCAAACAGG
RNAcentral lists this ribosomal RNA (404 nucleotides) under Actinomycetes bacterium. Its description in RNAcentral is "Actinobacteria bacterium partial 16S ribosomal RNA". It matches the Rfam family "Bacterial small subunit ribosomal RNA", at positions 355 to 776 of the family's 1533-position model. Lineage: Bacteria; Bacillati; Actinomycetota; Actinomycetes. The record is from RNAcentral.